AUAAUUAUAAUAAAAAAGCAAAAGGGUAAUAGGUUGAGAACAAUGUCGUUCGGUGUAUUCUUAGGAAAUAAUGUCUCUCUUCCAAAGUGUCACCUUUUUCUACGCACACCAGUGGCGGCGCGACUUGAUCUCCAACAUCUCCUUCGAUGCGCCGAUCACACUUCUCAACAUCUCGUCAUCUUUCUCGACCUAUGCUUUCCGCCAUCUUCAAUUUCCACUGAUUCUCAGCAGCAGCCCUGUCUCACUCUGUUUAUCCUCGUCACUUUGAUCGUAACCCCUAGUCGUGCCCUCAUCACUUCCUUCUUCUUCUUCUGA
Molecule: non-coding RNA, 315 nt
Organism: Vicia faba (fava bean)
Lineage: Eukaryota; Viridiplantae; Streptophyta; Magnoliopsida; Fabales; Fabaceae
Source: the annotation of a GenBank genome assembly